Molecule: long non-coding RNA, 437 nt
Filed under: Homo sapiens (human)
Lineage: Eukaryota; Metazoa; Chordata; Mammalia; Primates; Hominidae
Description: HSALNT0002525
Source: RNAcentral
CUCCCAUUAGUGUGGGAAAUCAAGAAUCUUGAGCCCUUCAGGGGCUGAGGUUGAAUCUGGUACAACAUCUCUGCCUGUAUCUGGUGCCCAGCCUAGAAGCUGGUGUAGAUGAGGGGCCAGGAAAGGGAUGGAGGAUCCUGCAGCAUGGCCUGGGAAUUCAGGACUUCAACGACAAUGAAGAAGAAAUACUGCCAAGAGCUGAGGUACCACUGGCAUCACUUGGGCCUGUGCCAUUCUGCCCACAUCCCCUUGGAAGUACAGAAUGGAGUACAGAAUCCCCCUCCUAUCUGGACUAGGCAGGGAGUUGAGGUGUGAUGAGGCCUUGCCAGCCGCUCUUCAUGGUGGGAAUACAUUCAAAUCCAGCCUCACCUGGAUAUCCCCCAGGGAGCUGAGCCUUAGGUUUUGUGACAGAAUUUGAGGCAGUGAAUGCUGACCCA